This 1395-nucleotide ribosomal RNA is filed under the name uncultured rumen bacterium. RNAcentral's name for it is "16S ribosomal RNA". It matches the Rfam family "Bacterial small subunit ribosomal RNA". The record is from RNAcentral.
UAGUGGCGGACGGGUGAGUAACGUGUGGAUAACCUGGUCCAUCCAGGGGGAUAGCAGCUGGAAACGGCUGGUAAUACCGCAUAAGCGCACAGAGAGGCAUCUCUCGGUGUGAAAAGAUUUAUCGGGAUGGAAUGGAUCCGCAUCUGAUUAGCCAGUUGGCGGGGUAACGGCCCACCAAAGCGACGAUCAGUAGCCGGCCUGAGAGGGCGGACGGCCACAUUGGGACUGAGACACGGCCCAGACUCCUACGGGAGGCAGCAGUGGGGGAUAUUGCACAAUGGAGGGAACUCUGAUGCAGCGACGCCGCGUGGGUGAAGAAGUAUUUCGGUAUGUAAAGCCCUAUCAGCAGGGAAGAUAAUGACGGUACCUGAGUAAGAAGCCCCGGCUAACUACGUGCCAGCAGCCGCGGUAAUACGUAGGGGGCGAGCGUUAUCCGGAUUUACUGGGUGUAAAGGGAGCGCAGACGGCUGUGGAAGUCAGAUGUGGAAGCCCCGGGCAUAACCCGGGGAGUGCAUUUGAAACUCUAUAGCUAGAGUACUGGAGGGGUGAGCGGAAUUCCUNGUGUAGCGGUGNAAUGNGUAGAUAUCANGAAGAACACCGGUGGCGAAGGNGGCUCACUNGACAGAGACUGNCGNUGAGGCUCGAAAGCGUGGNGAGCAAACAGGNNUUUAGAUACCCUGGUAGUCCUACGCCGUAAACGAUGAACACUAGGUGUGGGGAAGCGAAGCGCCUCCCGGUGCCGCAGCAAACGCAAUAAGUGUUCCACCUGGGGAGUACGUCCGCAAGGAUGAAACUCAACGGAAUUGACGGGGACCCGCACAAGCGGUGGAGCAUGUGGUUUAAUUCGAAGCAACGCGAAGAACCUUACCAGGCCUUGAGAUCCGGAUGAAUAGCAGGUAAUGCUGCUAGCUCUUCGGAGCAUCCGAGACAGGUGGUGCAUGGUUGUCGUCAGCUCGUGUCGUGAGAUGUUGGGUCAAGUCCCGCAACGAGCGCAACCCUUGCCAUCAGUAGCCAGCAUGUAGAGGUGGGCACUAUGAUGGGACUGCCGGGGACAACCCGGAGGAAGGUGGGGAUGACGUCAAAUCAUCAUGCCCCUUAUGGCCUGGGUUACACACGUGUUACAAUGGCGCACACAAAGGGAAGCGAAGGCGUGAGCCGGAGCGAAUCCCAAAAAAGGCGCCUCAGUUCGGACUGUAGUCUGCAACCCGACUUCACGAAGCUGGAAUCGUUAGUAAUCGCAGAUCAGAAUGUUGCGGUGAAUACGUUCCCGGGUCUUGUACACACCGCCCGUCACACCAUGGGGGUCAGAAAUGCCCGAAGCUCGUGGCUUAACCGUAAGGAGAGAGCGAUCGAAGGCAGGUCCGGUGACUGGGGCGUCGUAAUAACAAGGUAACC